RNAcentral lists this long non-coding RNA (215 nucleotides) under Ananas comosus (pineapple). RNAcentral's name for it is "long non-coding RNA (ACOM_LNC041826)". Lineage: Eukaryota; Viridiplantae; Streptophyta; Magnoliopsida; Poales; Bromeliaceae. The record is from RNAcentral.
AGUUUUUGGCUAUUGGAUUAAGAGAUGUGCAGUUAGGAUGAUGUGGGCCUUCUAGGAUUGAGUGGGUGGUUGGUUGAAUAGUGUGAUCUAACGGGUGAAAAUGAUCAAAAGGGUAGAUCUAACGGCGAAAAACUUGGUAGCACUAAGUGCUUCGUGCUAUUAAUAACAUAGUAGCCGCACUAUAUAUAUAUAUAUAUAUAUAUAUAUAUAUAUAU